Molecule: ribosomal RNA, 570 nt
Filed under: Escherichia coli
Lineage: Bacteria; Pseudomonadati; Pseudomonadota; Gammaproteobacteria; Enterobacterales; Enterobacteriaceae
Description: bacterial LSU rRNA
Rfam family: Bacterial large subunit ribosomal RNA
Source: RNAcentral
UGGUCGAGUCGGCCUGCGCGGAAGAUGUAACGGGGCUAAACCAUGCACCGAAGCUGCGGCAGCGACGCUGAUGCGUUGUUGGGUAGGGGAGCGUUCUGUAAGCCUGCGAAGGUGUGCUGUGAGGCAUGCUGGAGGUAUCAGAAGUGCGAAUGCUGACAUAAGUAACGAUAAAGCGGGUGAAAAGCCCGCUCGCCGGAAGACCAAGGGUUCCUGUCCAACGUUAAUCGGGGCAGGGUGAGUCGACCCCUAAGGCGAGGCCGAAAGGCGUAGUCGAUGGGAAACAGGUUAAUAUUCCUGUACUUGGUGUUACUGCGAAGGGGGGACGGAGAAGGCUAUGUUGGCCGGGCGACGGUUGUCCCGGUUUAAGCGUGUAGGCUGGUUUUCCAGGCAAAUCCGGAAAAUCAAGGCUGAGGCGUGAUGACGAGGCACUACGGUGCUGAAGCAACAAAUGCCCUGCUUCCAGGAAAAGCCUCUAAGCAUCAGGUAACAUCAAAUCGUACCCCAAACCGACACAGGUGGUCAGGUAGAGAAUACCAAGGCGCUUGAGAGAACUCGGGUGAAGGAACUAGG